UGAUACUCCCCCUCGAAAUGUGACGACUUCCAUCCUAUAGACAGAAGUGUCGGGAGAGCUUGUGAUACUCCCCCUCGAAAUGUGACGACUUCCAUCCUAUGGACAGAAGUGUCGGGAGAGCUUCUGAUAAUCUCCCUCGAAAUGUGACGACUUCCAUCCUAUGGACAGAAGUGUCGGGGGAGCUUCUGAUACUCUCCCUCGAAAUGUGACGACUUCCAUCCUAUGGACAGAAGUGUCGGGAGAGCUUCUGAUACUCCCCCUCGAAAUGUGACGACUUCCAUCCUAUAGACAGAAGUGUCGGGAGAGCUUGUGAUACUCCCCCCUGAAA
This 328-nucleotide long non-coding RNA is filed under the name Zostera marina. RNAcentral's name for it is "long non-coding RNA (ZMAR_LNC005097)". The record is from RNAcentral. Lineage: Eukaryota; Viridiplantae; Streptophyta; Magnoliopsida; Alismatales; Zosteraceae.